UUGACUUAGCUGGGUAGUGGGGAACCCUUCCAUGAGGAGACGAACACUCCUUAUGCAAGAUUCCCUUCUACCUGACUGGGUUGG
MicroRNA precursor from Pteropus vampyrus (large flying fox), 84 nucleotides. Ensembl annotates it as microRNA 491. Its record names the gene MIR491. NCBI's taxonomy places the organism in Eukaryota, Metazoa, Chordata, Mammalia, Chiroptera, Pteropodidae. The record is from Ensembl.